CCUACGGGAGGCAGCAGUGGGGAAUAUUGCACAAUGGGGGAAACCCUGAUGCAGCGACGCCGCGUGAGUGAAGAAGUAAUUCGUUAUGUAAAGCCCUAUUAGCAGGGAAGAAAAUGACGGUACCUGAGUAAGAAGCCCCGGCUAACUACGUGCCAGCAGCCGCGGUAAUACGGAGGGGGCCAGCGUAAUCCGGAUUUACUGGGUGUAAAGGGAGCGUAGACGGCAGUGCAAGUCUGGAGUGAAAGGCGGGGGCUCAACCCCCGGAUUGCUGUGGAAACUGUACGGCUGGAGUGCAGGAGAGGUAAGUGGAAUUCCUAGUGUAGCGGUGAAAUGCAUAGAUAUUAGGAGGAACACCAGUGGCGAAGGCAGCUUACUGGACUGUAACUGACGUUGAGGCUCGAAAGCGUGGGGAGCGAACAGGAUUAGAUACCCCAGUAGUC
Molecule: ribosomal RNA, 440 nt
Filed under: uncultured bacterium
Lineage: Bacteria
Description: partial 16S ribosomal RNA
Rfam family: Bacterial small subunit ribosomal RNA
Source: RNAcentral